CCACAGCUACAACCGCACAGAACCAGUAGUAAGCAUCGUUUCUCUUUGAUUCGAUCACUGGGGAUGGCGAGUCUAAGUCUAACA
Enterococcus asini ATCC 700915 is the source of this 84-nucleotide regulatory RNA element. The record is from Rfam. NCBI's taxonomy places the organism in Bacteria, Bacillati, Bacillota, Bacilli, Lactobacillales, Enterococcaceae.